RNAcentral lists this ribosomal RNA (253 nucleotides) under uncultured bacterium. Its description in RNAcentral is "partial 16S ribosomal RNA". It matches the Rfam family "Bacterial small subunit ribosomal RNA", at positions 524 to 776 of the family's 1533-position model. The record is from RNAcentral.
UACGUAGGCAGCGAGCGUUGUUCGGAGUUACUGGGCGUAAAGCGUGCGUAGGCGGUUGUCUAAGUUUGGUGUGAAAUCUCCCGGCUUAACUGGGAGGGUGCGCCGAAAACUGGAAGGCUUGAGUAUGGGAGAGGUAAGCGGAAUUCCUGGUGUAGCGGUGAAAUGCGUAGAUAUCAGGAGGAACACCUGCGGUGUAGACGGCUUACUGGACCAUAACUGACGCUGAGGCACGAAAGCGUGGGUAGCAAACAGG